Long non-coding RNA from Homo sapiens (human), 690 nucleotides. The record is from Ensembl. NCBI's taxonomy places the organism in Eukaryota, Metazoa, Chordata, Mammalia, Primates, Hominidae.
AUGCUGUCCUCCAUGACGUGCAGCGCCUCAGCAGCGUCAUGGCCAUGGGUGCCGUGCGCCAGUGUGUGACCUCCACCCGUGUGUGCAGCUAUCCCGUGAGCAAGGUUCUUCUGCCAUGGCUUCAGCCAGUCCCUCCGUUCGGGGUCCCUGACUUCCCGCAACAGGACUUGUUCUGUGAUAAAGGCUCCAGGGGCCCAUUAACGAGCUGAAAUCAAUAUUGAGCUUUUACAACUUGGACGAGAGAUGUCUGCUGAAAGUGGAAUCAAAGCUUGACAGUAGAUCAUUAAAUGUUACAGAUAUUCCUAAACUGUUCCUAACCAUUUCAUCAGCUGAGUGAUCGUGACAACAGCAAUAGUCCCUGAUACGACGGUUGCACUUCCAGCCUGUCUCUCUUCUCAGACAUUCUAUUUGAUUGCGAAUUCCAAAUUGCCAUUUACUGGGCAGAAGCUGGCACAGCGACCCCAGGAGGUACCCAGCAGGGCACCAUCAUCUUACCCAACCUGGCCUCUGUGCUCUAUGACCCUGAGUGCUGGGAGACCCCUCGACAGUUCAACCCUGGCCACUUCUCGGACAAGGAUGGAAACUUUGUGGCCAAUGAGGCCUUCCUGCCAUUCUCUGCAGGGCAUCGUGUCUACCCAGCAGACCAGCUGGCUCAAAUGGAGCUCUUCCUGAUGUUUGCCACCCUCCUCA